CUGCUUGAUAUGUGUGAGAAACAGAAGCUGAUGGAAAGAGACAGAAAAAAAGAUGCACAAGUAAAGGUCAUCAGAAACUCCACUGCAGCGUUGACUUUGCCAGAGGAGAACAGAUGAGGUGUUUGUCACCUGCAGUAGUAUUUUUAGUUUGGAAAAAAACAGCAUUUAGUACUGGUCAAGGGGGUCCUGUUAGAUCUGUAGCUAAAGAGCUGCAAAGAGCUCCAGUUCCUAUUGCUGGAGCUCUUUGCAAGACAGCCUUGUCUUUUUCUCGAGACUUGUUAAUUCUGAGUGUUCCUUGGUCACUGAAAGUGAGUGCCAUUUCAAACAUUAGGCAUGGAAAAGCUAAGCUGUAAUAUAUACUAUACAUAUAUGCACUAUUUUAGGGUAUAUACAUGCACUAUAUAUACAAUUUAAACUGUGUAUUUUUUUUUACCAAAGCCAUUUUGUAAAGCCUUAAACGUUGGAAAUGUAAGGAAUUUAAAAGGUAUUUGGGGGGUCUAGAAGGUACUGUUGGAAAGAGUAUUGCUUGAUGGUUCAUUAAUUCACUUUUUCCUCGAUAUAAUGUUACUGGUGAUCUUUUAUUUCUGCAUUUGUGUAUUUAAGCAUGAAUGUUCUUGUGCAUUUAUGGUGUAUCAGGUACACAGUUAGAGAUUCUGUGUAAUCUGAACUGCAUACAUACAUUGUUAACAAAACCAUACUGCUUUCUGCUGCUGGAUCAUAAGUAGGUGAUAAUAUUUGGACACUCUUCACUACUAAAGUUAGAUCAAUACUAAUGAAUCAAUACUAUAAAGGCAAAAGUAGCGGGUUUGUUUGUUUUCACUUGUUUUGUUUUUCAAAACUUAUUUCUAUAACUUAAAAGCGAGAAAUUACUCCUAUUUUCCUCUGCUGUCUUGUAAUUUGCAUGAUUUCUCAAUAUUCUAUAAAUAAUUUAUUUGAUUUGGGAGCUAAAUGAUUCUACCCUCCCAGCUUUUAGGGAAUAUCUAUAAAGUUAUUUUGCAGAAAUCUUUAUUUAGAAUUUUCAGUGACCACUGCAGAUGUAUAAAAGUGCAAGUACUCAAUAGUGGAACUUCCCAAGAAAGAGAAUAUGUCACUAUAAUACUGAGAGGCCUCUCCUGGAAACUCUCCAAGAAAGAACUUCUACCAUU
Neopsephotus bourkii (Bourke's parrot) is the source of this 1145-nucleotide long non-coding RNA. RefSeq lists it as uncharacterized. The transcript is spliced from 3 exons. Lineage: Eukaryota; Metazoa; Chordata; Aves; Psittaciformes; Psittacidae. The record is from RefSeq and is a predicted model, not a curated record.